RNAcentral lists this transfer RNA (61 nucleotides) under Niviventer cremoriventer (dark-tailed tree rat). Its description in RNAcentral is "tRNA-Tyr". It matches the Rfam family "tRNA". From Rfam's summary of the family: Transfer RNA (tRNA) molecules are approximately 80 nucleotides in length. Their secondary structure includes four short double-helical elements and three loops (D, anti-codon, and T loops). Lineage: Eukaryota; Metazoa; Chordata; Mammalia; Rodentia; Muridae. The record is from RNAcentral.
AUGGCUGAGUAAGCAUUAGACUGUAAAUCUAAAGACAGAGGUUUAAGCCCUCUUCUUACCA